GAUGAAGAACGCAGUAAAAUGCGAUAAGUAAUGUGAAUUGCAGAAUUCAGUGAAUCAUCGAAUCUUUGAACGCACAUUGCGCCCGCCAGUACUCUGGCGGGCAUGCCUGUCCGAGCGUCAUUUCAACCCUCAGGGCCCUCCAGCAGGGCGCUGGUGUUGGGGAUCGGCAGUCCCAGCGGCUGCCGUCCCUGAAAUGUAGUGGCGGUCCCACCGUGACCUCCCCUGUGCAGUACAUCGCUCGCAGAGGGACAGCGGUGCGGCCACGCCGUAAAACGCCCAACUCUUCAAGGUUGACCUCGGAUCAGGUAGGACUACCCGCUGAACUUAAGCAUAUCAAUAAGCGGAGGA
Molecule: unclassified non-coding RNA, 348 nt
Filed under: soil metagenome
Description: partial contains 5.8S ribosomal RNA, internal transcribed spacer 2, and large subunit ribosomal RNA
Rfam family: 5.8S ribosomal RNA (bases 1-120)
Source: RNAcentral